GGACGAACGCUGGCGGCGUGCUUAACACAUGCAAGUCGAACGGAAAGGCCCUGCUUUUGUGGGGUGCUCGAGUGGCGAACGGGUGAGUAACACGUGAGUAACCUGCCCUUGACUUUGGGAUAACUUCAGGAAACUGGGGCUAAUACCGGAUAGGAGCUCCUGCUGCAUGGUGGGGGUUGGAAAGUUUCGGCGGUUGGGGAUGGACUCGCGGCUUAUCAGCUUGUUGGUGGGGUAGUGGCUUACCAAGGCUUUGACGGGUAGCCGGCCUGAGAGGGUGACCGGCCACAUUGGGACUGAGAUACGGCCCAGACUCCUACGGGAGGCAGCAGUGGGGAAUAUUGCACAAUGGGCGGAAGCCUGAUGCAGCAACGCCGCGUGCGGGAUGACGGCCUUCGGGUUGUAAACCGCUUUCGCCUGUGGCGAAGCGUGAGUGACGGUAAUGGGUAAAGAAGCACCGGCUAACUACGUG
Molecule: ribosomal RNA, 469 nt
Filed under: uncultured bacterium
Lineage: Bacteria
Description: partial 16S ribosomal RNA
Rfam family: Bacterial small subunit ribosomal RNA
Source: RNAcentral